RNAcentral lists this ribosomal RNA (514 nucleotides) under uncultured bacterium. RNAcentral's name for it is "bacterial SSU rRNA". It matches the Rfam family "Bacterial small subunit ribosomal RNA", at positions 26 to 518 of the family's 1533-position model. The record is from RNAcentral.
AGGACGAACGCUGGCGGCGUGCCUAAUACAUGCAAGUCGAGCGGACCUGAUGGAGUGCUUGCACUCCUGAUGGUUAGCGGCGGACGGGUGAGUAACACGUAGGCAACCUGCCCGUAAGACCGGGAUAACUACCGGAAACGGUAGCUAAUACCGGAUAAUCAAGUCUCUCGCAUGGGAGGCUUGGGAAAGGCGGAGCAAUCUGUCACUUACGGAUGGGCCUGCGGCGCAUUAGCUAGUUGGUGGGGUAACGGCUCACCAAGGCGACGAUGCGUAGCCGACCUGAGAGGGUGAACGGCCACACUGGGACUGAGACACGGCCCAGACUCCUACGGGAGGCAGCAGUAGGGAAUCUUCCGCAAUGGACGAAAGUCUGACGGAGCAACGCCGCGUGAAGUGAUGAAGGUUUUCGGAUCGUAAAGCUCUGUUGCCAGGGAAGAACGUCCUGUAGAGUAACUGCUACAGGAGUGACGGUACCUGAGAAGAAAGCCCCGGCUAACUACGUGCCAGCCGCCGC